CCUACGGGGGGCAGCAGUCGAGAAUCAUUCACAAUGGGGGAAACCCUGAUGGUGCGACGCCGCGUGGGGGAAUGAAGGUCUUCGGAUUGUAAACCCCUGUCAUGUGGGAGCAAAUUAAAAAGAUAGUACCACAAGAGGAAGAGACGGCUAACUCUGUGCCAGCAGCCGCGGUAAUACAGAGGUCUCAAGCUUUGUUCGGAAUCACUGGGCGUAAAGCGUGCGUAGGCUGUUUCGUAAGUCGUGUGUGAAAGGCGCGGGCUCAACCCGCGGACGGCACAUGAUACUGCGAGACUAGAGUAAGGGAGGGGGAACCGGAAUUCUCGGUGUAGCAGUGAAAUGCGUAGAUAUCGAGAGGAACACUCGUGGCGAAGGCGGGUUCCUGGACAUUAACUGACGCUGAGGCACGAAGGCCAGGGGAGCGAAAGGGAUUAGAUACCCUAGUAGUC
This 446-nucleotide ribosomal RNA is filed under the name uncultured bacterium. RNAcentral's name for it is "partial 16S ribosomal RNA". It matches the Rfam family "Bacterial small subunit ribosomal RNA", at positions 338 to 795 of the family's 1533-position model. The record is from RNAcentral.